Molecule: non-coding RNA, 58 nt
Organism: Ixodes scapularis (black-legged tick)
Lineage: Eukaryota; Metazoa; Arthropoda; Arachnida; Ixodida; Ixodidae
Source: Rfam
UAAUUCAGUUGGUAGAGCGCUCCACUGGAAACGGAGAGGUCCCGGGUUCGAUACCCGG